GCACGAAGUUAGCCGGGGCUUAUUCUGCGGGUACCGUCAUCAUCGUCCCCGCCAAAAGAGCUUUACAACCCGAAGGCCUUCAUCACUCACGCGGCAUGGCUGGAUCAGGGUUGCCCCCAUUGUCCAAUAUUCCCCACUGCUGCCUCCCGUAGGAGUCUGGGCCGUGUCUCAGUCCCAGUGUGGCUGAUCGUCCUCUCAGACCAGCUAACGAUCGUCGCCUUGGUGAGCCAUUACCUCACCAACUAGCUAAUCGUACGCGGACUCAUCUUUUGGCGAUAAAUCUUUAUCCCGAAGGAACCAUCCGGUAUUAGCCCCAGUUUCCCGGGGUUAUUCCGAACCAAAAGGCAGAUAUCCACGCGUUACUCACCCGUGCGCCACUCGUGUAUUGCUACACGCGUUCGACUUGCAUGUGUUAAGCCUGCCGCCAGCGUUCGUU
This 436-nucleotide ribosomal RNA is filed under the name uncultured bacterium. RNAcentral describes it as "partial 16S rRNA". The record is from RNAcentral.